CCUACGGGAGGCAGCAGUGGGGAAUAUUGCACAAUGGGGGAAACCCUGAUGCAGCGACGCCGCGUGAGUGAAGAAGUACUUCGUUACGUAAAGCUCUAUCAGCAGGGAAGAAACACUGACCUUACGGUCAGCAGCCGGUACCUCAGUCAGAAGCCACGGCUAACUACGUGCCAGCAGCCGCGGUAAUACGUCGGGGGCAAGCGUUAUCCGGAUGUACUGGGGGUAAAGGGAGCGUAGACGGUGCGCCAAGUCAGGAGUGAAAUGCCGCAGCUUAACUGUGGAAUUGCUUUGGAAACUGGCGAACUAGAGUGCAGGAGGGGUGAGCGGAAUUCGUAGUGUAGCGGUGAAAUGCGUAGAUAUUAGGAGGAACACCGGUGGCGAAGGCGGCUUACUGGACCGUAACUGACGUUGAGGCUCGAAAGCGUGGGGAGCAAACAGGAUUAGAUACCCGUGUAGUC
This 458-nucleotide ribosomal RNA is filed under the name uncultured bacterium. RNAcentral describes it as "partial 16S ribosomal RNA". It matches the Rfam family "Bacterial small subunit ribosomal RNA", at positions 338 to 795 of the family's 1533-position model. The record is from RNAcentral.